This 462-nucleotide ribosomal RNA is filed under the name uncultured bacterium. Its description in RNAcentral is "bacterial SSU rRNA". It matches the Rfam family "Bacterial small subunit ribosomal RNA", at positions 29 to 524 of the family's 1533-position model. The record is from RNAcentral.
AACGAACGCUGGCGGCAUGCCUAACACAUGCAAGUCGAACGGGAUCCGAGCUUCGGUUCGGUGAGAGUGGCGGACGGGUGAGUAACGCGUGGGAACCUGCCCAGUGGUGGGGGAUAACUGCGGGAAACUGCAGCUAAUACCGCAUGAGCCCGAGAGGGGAAAGAUUUAUCGCCAUUGGAGGGGCCCGCGUUCGAUUAGGUAGUUGGUGAGGUAACGGCUCACCAAGCCUUCGAUCGAUAGCUGGUCUGAGAGGAUGAUCAGCCACACUGGGACUGAGAUACGGCCCAGACUCCUACGGGAGGCAGCAGUGGGGAAUAUUGGACAAUGGGGGGCAACCCUGAUCCAGCAAUGCCGCGUGAGUGAUGAAGGCCUUCGGGUUGUAAAGCUCUUUUGCCGGGGACGAUGAUGACGGUACCCGGAGAAUAAGCCCCGGGCUAACUUCGUGCCAGCAGCCGCGGUAAU